CCCCACUAUUCUAGCCCUAAAACUUAACCACUUCUAGGGCACUCUACGAAAAACCUUUAAAACCCAAAGAACUUGGCGGCAUUUCACACCCAAUCAGGGGAGCCUGUCCUAGAACUGAUACCCCACAACUAACCCCACUUGCGCUUGCCCCCCAGCUUGUAUACCGCCGUCGACAGCCCACCUACUAAAGAAACAGUAUGCUCCAAGGAAAAAUCCCUAUACGUCAGGUCAAGGUGCAGCCAAUGCGCAAGAAGAGAUGGGCUACAAUAACCAACAAACUCGAACCUCCCAAUGAAAAAAGAGCAAAGAAGGACUUGAAAGUAACAACAACAACCCAAAGUACUCCUGUGAAUGGGGCAAUAAAAUGUGC
Molecule: ribosomal RNA, 370 nt
Filed under: Gryphus vitreus
Lineage: Eukaryota; Metazoa; Brachiopoda; Rhynchonellata; Terebratulida; Gryphidae
Description: partial 12S small subunit ribosomal RNA
Source: RNAcentral